CGUACACUCCUACGGGAGGCAGCAGUAGGGAAUCUUCCACAAUGGGUGCAAACCUGAUGGAGCAAUGCCGCGUGAGUGAAGAAGGUCUUCGGAUCGUAAAGCUCUGUUGUUAGAGAAGAACACGUGCUAGGUAACUACUAGCGCCUUGACGGUAUCUAACCAGAAAGUCACGGCUAACUACGUGCCAGCAGCCGCGGUAAUACGUAGGUGACAAGCGUUGUCCGGAUUUAUUGGGCGUAAAGGGAGCGCAGGCGGUCUGUUUAGUCUAAUGUGAAAGCCCACGGCUUAACCGUGGAACGGCAUUGGAAACUGACAGACUUGAAUGUAGAAGAGGAAAAUGGAAUUCCAAGUGUAGCGGUGGAAUGCGUAGAUAUUUGGAGGAACACCAGUGGCGAAGGCGAUUUUCUGGUCUAACAUUGACGCUGAGGCUCGAAAGCGUGGGGAGCGAACAGGAUUAGAUACCCCAGUAGUCCC
This 474-nucleotide ribosomal RNA is filed under the name uncultured organism. RNAcentral's name for it is "partial 16S ribosomal RNA". It matches the Rfam family "Bacterial small subunit ribosomal RNA", at positions 330 to 797 of the family's 1533-position model. The record is from RNAcentral.